AAAAAAAAAAAAAAAAAAAAAAAAAGGCCACUCCCAUGGUCUGGCCAUAGAUCUGCAUAAUCUACCCACUCCUGCAUUCUGCGGUCUCAUUUUCUCAUUUCCAAACUCCUCUGAGCCUCGCUCCUGCAGGGAGUGUUUUCCAAUCCUCCAGGGCUGCCCAAAUAGGGCUAGGUGUCCUCUGUCCUCACUCGCCUUCCACGGUUCUCCCGUGUUGCAUUUGCAGAAUCGCAGUGAUGAUCUGUUCACGUUUCUUUCUCUCCACCCUACGGUGUGAGUUCCCUGAGAGCAGAGGCAUAGCCUGGUCCUGGCACGGUGCCUGGCACACAGUACGCACCUGAUAUAUGUGAUUGACUUGAACUUCAUGUGGUUAGAGGGUGUGUAGGUAGGUGGUGGUGGUGGGGAAGCCUCACUGUGGUCUCAAAGUCUGGAGCUCCUUUGCGUGUUUAUCUGGCCUUUGCGAUGCAAAUCUGGGAGGAUCAGUGUUUGCAUGGAGAGCAGGAAAGAAAAGCAGUGGAAAGAGGACAAAGGACGGUUUCACACAGCGCUGACUCCCCCUCACACAGACUUGGGGAUCGAUCAGCGUCUGGGGCAUCAAGAGGCAGUCUGGGGGCUGGAUUCACGAGGUAAGGUGUUGAGCAGACGGGAUAGGGAGGUGGAGCAGGGGCGCAGGCACCAACACGUGAGAGAGGCACUUCCCCCUUCUUCCCUGGGUGUGUGCAGUGGGGGCUCCAGAAACGCCCCACCCCUGGGAAAGGGGCGAGUGAGGCUGGCCCCAUCUUUCCAGCCCCCGGCGAGCUCCAGCGUCCGCGAGGACAGGGAGGCCUCUAGCGGCCGGCGUGGGAAGCAGGCAAAGGCCGGCUGCGGAGGGCGGGAGGACAUUUCCUACCCGGGCCUGGGGCCGCGCGCUUUCGCAAAGGAAGUGCCUCCCGGACGCAGGGCGGGGCGGGAAGUGGGGGGCGGAGGCGCGGCCAAUGGCAGCUCAGAGGCCGCAAGGGGGCGGGACGGGCCGAGUCCCGGCGCCAGCCCCACCCAGGCUGCCCCGCAGAGCCAGGCGCCGGAGCCCGCCGCAUCCAGGCCAACAAGUUCUGCCGCUGGAGCUUCCACCCCGAGCCUCGCCCCGCUCCCCGCCUCUGCCUUCGGGCCGCACAAGCCCCGCCCCUGCCGCUCCAGGGCAGAGGCCGCGCCCCCUUCCCCGCCGCAUUCCAGGGCUGCCCCUCCCCAGGCCUUCGAAUUUUGCUUUCCAGCUAGCAGUAUCCCGUUGUGUGUCCAGGCAUUUAAUUAG
This 1282-nucleotide long non-coding RNA is filed under the name Piliocolobus tephrosceles (Ugandan red Colobus). Its description in RNAcentral is "lncRNA (ENSPTEG00000038757.1)". Lineage: Eukaryota; Metazoa; Chordata; Mammalia; Primates; Cercopithecidae. The record is from RNAcentral.